GAGGGUAUAGCUCAAGUGGUAGAGCACAUGCCUAGCAUGCAUGAGGUCCUGGGUUCAAUCCCCAGUACCUCCU
This 73-nucleotide transfer RNA is filed under the name Camelus dromedarius (Arabian camel). It matches the Rfam family "tRNA". Rfam says of the family: Transfer RNA (tRNA) molecules are approximately 80 nucleotides in length. Their secondary structure includes four short double-helical elements and three loops (D, anti-codon, and T loops). Further hydrogen bonds mediate the characteristic L-shaped molecular structure. tRNAs have two regions of fundamental functional importance: the anti-codon, which is responsible for specific mRNA codon recognition, and the 3' end, to which the tRNAs corresponding amino acid is attached (by aminoacyl-tRNA synthetases). tRNAs cope with the degeneracy of the genetic code in two manners: having more than one tRNA (with a specific anti-codon) for a particular amino acid; and 'wobble' base-pairing, i.e. permitting non-standard base-pairing at the 3rd anti-codon position. The record is from Rfam by way of RNAcentral. RNAcentral also lists the same sequence under 2 other names. Lineage: Eukaryota; Metazoa; Chordata; Mammalia; Artiodactyla; Camelidae.